CCUACGGGGGGCUGCAGUGGGGAAUAUUGGACAAUGGGGGGAACCCUGAUCCAGCCAUGCCGCGUGUGUGAAGAAGGCCCUCGGGUUGUAAAGCACUUUCAGUGAGGAAGAACGCCUGGUGGUUAAUACCCAUCAGGAAAGACAUCACUCACAGAAGAAGCACCGGUUAACUCCGUGCCAGCAGCCGCGGUAAUACGGAGGGUGCGAGCGUUAAUCGGAAUUACUGGGCGUAAAGCGCGCGUAGGUGGCUUGAUAAGCCGGUUGUGAAAGCCCCGGGCUCAACCUGGGAACGGCAUCCGGAACUGUCAAGCUAGAGUGCAGGAGAGGAAGGUAGAAUUCCCGGUGUAGCGGUGAAAUGCGUAGAGAUCGGGAGGAAUACCAGUGGCGAAGGCGGCCUUCUGGACUGACACUGACACUGAGGUGCGAAAGCGUGGGUAGCAAACAGGAUUAGAUACCCGAGUAGUC
RNAcentral lists this ribosomal RNA (465 nucleotides) under Vreelandella stevensii. Its description in RNAcentral is "partial 16S ribosomal RNA". It matches the Rfam family "Bacterial small subunit ribosomal RNA", at positions 338 to 795 of the family's 1533-position model. The record is from RNAcentral. Lineage: Bacteria; Pseudomonadati; Pseudomonadota; Gammaproteobacteria; Oceanospirillales; Halomonadaceae.